This 473-nucleotide ribosomal RNA is filed under the name uncultured bacterium. RNAcentral's name for it is "bacterial SSU rRNA". It matches the Rfam family "Bacterial small subunit ribosomal RNA", at positions 28 to 505 of the family's 1533-position model. The record is from RNAcentral.
GACGAACGCUGGCGGCGUGCUUAACACAUGCAAGUCGAACGGUAAGGCCCUUCGGGUACGACGAGUGGCGAACGGGUGAGUAACACGUGGGUGAUCUGCCCUGCACUUCGGGAUAAGCCUGGGAAACUGGGUCUAAUACCGGAUAGGACUCCGAAUCGCAUGGUUUGGGGUGGAAAGCUUUUGCGGUGUGGGAUGGGCCCGCGGCCUAUCAGCUUGUUGGUGGGUGAUGGCCUACCAAGGCGACGACGGGUAGCCGGCCUGAGAGGGUGUCCGGCCACACUGGGACUGAGAUACGGCCCAGACUCCUACGGGAGGCAGCAGUGGGGAAUAUUGGACAAUGGGGGCAACCCUGAUCCAGCCAUGCCGCGUGGGUGAAGAAGGCCUCGGUUGUAAGCCUUUCGUGCGGAGAAAGUACGUCGGUGAACAUCCGGCGAUGCUGACGGUACCGCAAGAAUAAGCACCGGCUAACUUCG